Molecule: long non-coding RNA, 400 nt
Filed under: Pan troglodytes (chimpanzee)
Lineage: Eukaryota; Metazoa; Chordata; Mammalia; Primates; Hominidae
Description: long non-coding RNA NONPTRT013596
Source: RNAcentral
UUGGCAGAACCACAUCUACCUGAUACCUGAGAUAAGGAUGACUCUGGGCACUGUGUUAACAAGAGACUGAAGGGGACAAGAGUAGAAAUGGAUAACCAGUUUGGAGUCUACUGUAGCAAUUCUGGUAACAGAUGAUGACGUCGGCCAGUAACAGCAGAAGUGAAAAUAUGUGGUAGAUUAUGGGUAUAUUGUGAGGAUAAAGAUAUUUUGCCCUUUUGGAAACUGAAGAUAAAACAGAAAAAGAAAAGAAUUUUAAGAUAUGUUAAUCUAGCAAAACUAACAUAAGAAUGGCCACCGUGAAUUUCAUGAAAUUUUGCCACAGAGCAAUACUAAAAACUGAAUGAUUGUGCCUUUUUCCAUAUUUUAAUUAAAACUGAAAUGAAAAUACUCACUGUCGGAA